GGUUAAGCGACUAAGCGUACACGGUGGAUGCCCUGGCAGUCAGAGGCGAUGAAGGACGUGCUAAUCUGCGAAAAGCGUCGGUAAGGUGAUAUGAACCGUUACAGCCGGCGAUGUCCGAAUGGGGAAACCCAGUGUGAUUCGUCACACUAUCGUUAACUGAAUACAUAGGUUAACGAGGCGAACCGGGGGAACUGAAACAUCUAAGUACCCCGAGGAAAAGAAAUCAACCGAGAUUCCCCCAGUAGCGGCGAGCGAACGGGGAGCAGCCCAGAGUCUGAAUCAGCUUGUGUGUUAGUGGAACGGUCUGGAAAGUCCGACGGUACAGGGUGAUAGUCCCGUACACCAAAAUGCACAGGCUGUGAACUCGAAGAGUAGGGCGGGACACGUGGUAUCCUGUCUGAAUAUGGGGGGACCAUCCUCCAAGGCUAAAUACUCCUGACUGACCGAUAGUGAACCAGUACCGUGAGGGAAAGGCGAAAAGAACCCCGGCGAGGGGAGUGAAAAAGAACCUGAAACCGUGUACGUACAAGCAGUGGGAGCACCUUCGGGUGUGACUGCGUACCUUUUGUAUAAUGGGUCAGCGACUUAUAUUCUGUAGCAAGGUUAACCGUAUAGGGGAGCCGCAGGGAAACCGAGUCUUAACUGGGCGUUAAGUUGCAGGGUAUAGACCCGAAACCCGGUGAUCUAGCCAUGGGCAGGUUGAAGGUUGGGUAACACUAACUGGAGGACCGAACCGACUAAUGUUGAAAAAUUAGCGGAUGACUUGUGGCUGGGGGUGAAAGGCCAAUCAAACCGGGAGAUAGCUGGUUCUCCCCGAAAGCU
This 822-nucleotide ribosomal RNA is filed under the name Klebsiella aerogenes. Its description in RNAcentral is "partial 23S ribosomal RNA". It matches the Rfam family "Bacterial large subunit ribosomal RNA", at positions 1 to 867 of the family's 2925-position model. Lineage: Bacteria; Pseudomonadati; Pseudomonadota; Gammaproteobacteria; Enterobacterales; Enterobacteriaceae. RNAcentral also lists the same sequence under 2 other names. The record is from RNAcentral.